UGCAAGAUUAGAGAUUACUGUACAGUUUUGAAAUUGUGCAACACGAGACUAAUCGUUAUGCCAUGCCCAUGGCUGAUUCUCUAAAUGCUCUCAUCUCUCCCAAGCAACGAUUUCCUAAUGUAUCUGCGUGUACAGUUUCUGCAAGCCGACAUUUCCUAAAUGGAGUAAGGAUUUUUGACACAUUAUUCAGCUAUUACUUAAUUUUGGAAACGGUUUUGGGAGGCUACGUGGCUGAACGAACGUCAUUCGUGUGGAAAGAAGAUGUGUUACGACGUUUUUUCUGUUACAGUGUGCAGCAACGGCACCUCCCAUGAGAAAGCAGCAUGCACAAACAGCGGAACAAGGCCUAACAUGAUGACACGGCCUCGGUAUGCUGUUGGCGUGGGCCAGCCCGGCAUCACCUGAACAAACAUUAAAGAUGUUAACGUCACGGUCAGGGCUGUGCGGCCACAGCAAAGAGCCAGUCAUUAUGAAGUGUGGGAAUGCGGGGCCGUCUGGUUGGAGCACGCAGUUGGCCAGGUAAGGAAGUGUG
This is a long non-coding RNA of Salvelinus namaycush (lake trout), 532 nucleotides long. RefSeq lists it as uncharacterized. The record is from RefSeq and is a predicted model, not a curated record. The transcript has 3 exons. NCBI's taxonomy places the organism in Eukaryota, Metazoa, Chordata, Actinopteri, Salmoniformes, Salmonidae.